This 568-nucleotide ribosomal RNA is filed under the name Aspergillus oryzae. Its description in RNAcentral is "eukaryotic LSU rRNA". The stretch from base 183 to 336 matches the Rfam family "5.8S ribosomal RNA". Lineage: Eukaryota; Fungi; Ascomycota; Eurotiomycetes; Eurotiales; Aspergillaceae. The record is from RNAcentral.
AGAGACGGUUAGGUUCCUAGCGAGCCAACCUCCCACCCGUGUUUACUGUACCUUAGUUGCUUCGGCGGGCCCGCCAUUCAUGGCCGCCGGGGGCUCUCAGCCCCGGGCCCGCGCCCGCCGGAGACACCACGAACUCUGUCUGAUCUAGUGAAGUCUGAGUUGAUUGUAUCGCAAUCAGUUAAAACUUUCAACAAUGGAUCUCUUGGUUCCGGCAUCGAUGAAGAACGCAGCGAAAUGCGAUAACUAGUGUGAAUUGCAGAAUUCCGUGAAUCAUCGAGUCUUUGAACGCACAUUGCGCCCCCUGGUAUUCCGGGGGGCAUGCCUGUCCGAGCGUCAUUGCUGCCCAUCAAGCACGGCUUGUGUGUUGGGUCGUCGUCCCCUCUCCGGGGGGGACGGGCCCCAAAGGCAGCGGCGGCACCGCGUCCGAUCCUCGAGCGUAUGGGGCUUUGUCACCCGCUCUGUAGGCCCGGCCGGCGCUUGCCGAACGCAAAUCAAUCUUUUUCCAGGUUGACCUCGGAUCAGGUAGGGAUACCCGCUGAACUUAAGCAUAUCAAUAAGCGGAGGAAGA